This is a long non-coding RNA of Bactrocera tryoni, 1442 nucleotides long. RefSeq lists it as uncharacterized. The record is from RefSeq and is a predicted model, not a curated record. The transcript has 3 exons. NCBI's taxonomy places the organism in Eukaryota, Metazoa, Arthropoda, Insecta, Diptera, Tephritidae.
AUAGGGGUGGAUAUUCUCCUCUGAAGAACAAAGCGUGUACAAGUGCAGGGACACGUAGGCACGUGACCUUGACGUGGUGUUAACUGUUAAACGCGGCGAGGAGAUUUAAAGCCACGGGUCUCUGUCUAAACAUCAUACAUACACACAUAUACAAAAACGCCAGAAUUAAAACUGUGGAGAACCGCUCGAGAAAUUACAAUUGUGUACAAUAUUUGAGAGAGAGCUUGCAACCUCUGAAUCAUACACCGGAUAUUGUUUCGAAUGAAGAAUGCUUUUAAGAAGCAUCCUAACAACAAUUGUUCAAUAAAUGGUGUAACGUGGCUUUUACCACCUUACAAUAAUUUACGUCAACUUCGCUCCACAGUACAUCAUGUACCCUCACCAUACCACCAUACGUACUUAACUUCACCGCAUUGACUACGCACACAACUUACCUCACUACGAUGAUGAAAGCUGCUAGACCAUACGUACUAACGCACCAUACGCAUACAACUUACUUCGCUACGGUGACGAAAGCUGCGCUAUGCUGCUAUAAAAGCAAGCACUUUACACCAAAUUCGAUCAUUUGCUCCAGCUCGGCGAACAGGACGGUCGCCCAGCAUCGCGCAGAAAAUAGCAGUAAGCAGGGGUUGAUACCGGUACGCGCAAAGGCUCGACCGUUACUACGAGGAGCACAGCUGCGCUGCCUCGAACAGCGUCAGUACCGUACUUACGUACCGGAAGGCACCGUUAGUGAAAACUAACGCGACUAACAGGCGACAUGUAAGUGCAGUACUGUGGGAGUUGAUAGCUGGAGGCCAACGAAGACGGUUGGCUAUUAACGAAAUCUCUCCUAUACAGAGGAGCCCGUCGUAUACAUCACCGUGCCAGUCGCAACAAGCGUCAACGCCUGGCUCAUCAAUUCCGUUCGUUUUCAUCACCGUGCCAGCUUCAACAAGCGUCAACGCCUGGUUCGCCAAUCUCGUUCGUUUUCAUCACCACUGUACACAUCAGGCUGGUCUGGCUGUCCACAUAAGGGGUGGGGUGUGGAUACAACUAUACGAGGAUAAAGCUAGUCUUUUUUGCUAAGGGUUCGUGGGUCCCAAGGCUGACCCUGGAGCGGCUGAGCAUACCUCAGCUAUGGACGAAAACCCAUUACAAUGGGAAAAUCAAUUCAAAAUGCAUACAAUAUUUUAGUGUCGUUAUCGAUAAUACCAACCAUAUUUUAGUGGAAUCUACGUCAAAGAAUUUAUAUUAUUACAUUGUCUAAUAUCAAUAUUCAACGGAUGUCUUGAAAUAAAUAUUUUUUAAUCCCUUAAAUAGCAUUUUUCCGAUGUGCAAUUUUAAGUGUUUCAUUGGAAAGAUUCAAAUCUCUUCUUUGAGAAUGAUUUUUGAUCAUAAUUUCGACUUUCUGAACCACUCUGAAGAGUCAAUUUAAAAUAAACGAUGUUAUUUUGGAAAAA